RNAcentral lists this ribosomal RNA (254 nucleotides) under uncultured bacterium. Its description in RNAcentral is "partial 16S ribosomal RNA". It matches the Rfam family "Bacterial small subunit ribosomal RNA", at positions 524 to 776 of the family's 1533-position model. The record is from RNAcentral.
GACAGAGGGUGCAAACGUUGUUCGGAAUUACUGGGCGUAAAGCGCGUGUAGGCGGCUAAGUAAGUCGGGCGUGAAAUCCCACGGCUCAACCGUGGAAGUGCACUCGAAACUGCAUAGCUAGAGUCCUGGAGAGGAAGGUGGAAUGCUUGGUGUAGAGGUGAAAUUCGUAGAUAUCAAGCGGAACACCGGUGGCGAAGGCGGCCUUCUGGACAGUGACUGACGCUGAGACGGCGAAAGCGUGGGGAGCAAACAGG